RNAcentral lists this ribosomal RNA (253 nucleotides) under uncultured bacterium. Its description in RNAcentral is "partial 16S ribosomal RNA". It matches the Rfam family "Bacterial small subunit ribosomal RNA", at positions 524 to 776 of the family's 1533-position model. The record is from RNAcentral.
UACGGGGGGGGCAAGCGUUGUUCGGAAUUACUGGGCGUAAAGGGCUCGUAGGUGGCCAACUAAGUCAGACGUGAAAUCCCCAGGCUCAACUUGGGAACUGCGUCUGAUACUGGAUGGCUUGAGUUUGGGAGAGGGAUGCGGAAUUCCAGGUGUAGCGGUGAAAUGCGUAGAUAUCUGGAGGAACACCGGUGGCGAAGGCGGCAUCCUGGACCAACACUGACGCUGAGGAGCGAAAGCCAGGGGAGCAAACGGG